This 497-nucleotide ribosomal RNA is filed under the name uncultured bacterium. RNAcentral describes it as "partial 16S ribosomal RNA". It matches the Rfam family "Bacterial small subunit ribosomal RNA", at positions 28 to 507 of the family's 1533-position model. The record is from RNAcentral.
GAUGAACGCUGGCGGCGUGCCUAAUACAUGCAAGUCGAGCGAACAGACGAGGAGCUUGCUCCACUGACGUUAGCGGCGGACGGGUGAGUAACACGUGGAUAACCUACCUAUAAGACUGGGAUAACUUCGGGAAACCGGAGCUAAUACCGGAUAAUAUAUUGAACCGCAUGGUUCAAUAGUGAAAGACGGUUUUGCUGUCACUUAGAGAUGGAUCCGCGCCGCAUUAGCUAGUUGGUAAGGUAACAGCUUAACAAGGCAACGAUGCGUAGCCGACCUGAGAGAGUGAUCGGCCACACUGGAACUGAGACACGGUCCAGACUCCUACGGGAGGCAGCAGUCGGGAAUCUUCCGCAAUGGGCGAAAGCCUGACGGAGCAACGCCGCGUGAGUGAUGAAGGUCUUCGGAUCGUAAAACUCUGUUAUUAGGGAAGAACAAAUGUGUAAGUAACUAUGCACGUCUUGACGGUACCUAAUCAGAAAGCCCCGGCUAACUACGUG